CCCUUAGAGUUUGAUCCUGGCUCAGGACGAACGCUGGCGGCGUGCUUAACACAUGCAAGUCGAACGGGGUGUUUAUUUCGGUAAACACCAAGUGGCGAACGGGUGAGUAACGCGUAAGCAAUCUACCUUCAAGAUGGGGACAACACUUCGAAAGGGGUGCUAAUACCGAAUGAAUGUAAGAGUAUCGCAUGAGACACUUACUAAAGGAGGCCUCUGAAAUAAGCUUCCGCUUGAAGAUGAGCUUGCGUCUGAUUAGCUAGUUGGUGAGGGUAAAGGCCCACCAAGGCGACGAUCAGUAGCCGGUCUGAGAGGAUGAACGGCCACAUUGGGACUGAGACACGGCCCAGACUCCUACGGGAGGCAGCAGUGGGGAAUCUUCCGCAAUGGGCGAAAGCCUGACGGAGCAACGCCGCGUGAACGAUGAAGGUCUUAGGAUCGUAAAGUUCUGUUGUUAGGGACGAAGGGCAAGGGUUAUAAUACAGCCUUUGUUUGACGGUACCUAACGAGGAAGCCACGGCUAACUACGUGCCAGCAGCCGCGGUAAUACGUAGGCGGCAAGCGUUGUCCGGAAUUAUUGGGCGUAAAGGGAGCGCAGGCGGGAAACUAAGCGGAUCUUAAAAGUGCGGGGCUCAACCCCGUGAUGGGGUCCGAACUGGUUUUCUUGAGUGCAGGAGAGGAAAGCGGAAUUCCCAGUGUAGCGGUGAAAUGCGUAGAUAUUGGGAAGAACACCAGUGGCGAAGGCGGCUUUCUGGACUGUAACUGACGCUGAGGCUCGAAAGCUAGGGUAGCGAACGGGAUUAGAUACCCCGGUAGUCCUAGCCGUAAACGAUGGAUACUAGGUGUGGGAGGUAUCGACCCCUUCCGUGCCGGAGUUAACGCAAUAAGUAUCCCGCCUGGGGAGUACGGCCGCAAGGU
Molecule: ribosomal RNA, 915 nt
Filed under: uncultured bacterium
Lineage: Bacteria
Description: bacterial SSU rRNA
Rfam family: Bacterial small subunit ribosomal RNA
Source: RNAcentral